AGAAUGAACGCUGGCGGCGUGCUUAACACAUGCAAGUCGAACGGAAUCCAAGGAGCUUGCUCUGGAAGAUUUAGUGGCGAACGGGUGAGUAUCACGUGAGCAACCUGCCCCGAAGACUGGGAUAACACCGGGAAACCGGUGCUAAUACCGGAUACCUUCCAAUGACCGCAUGGUCGAUGGAAGAAAUGUUUUUCGCUUCGGGAGGGGCUCGCGGUCCAUCAGCUUGUUGGCGGGGUAACGGCCCACCAAGGCUUCGACGGAUAGCUGGUCUGAGAGGACGAUCAGCCACACUGGAACUGAGACACGGUCCAGACUCCUACGGGAGGCAGCAGUGGGGAAUCUUGCGCAAUGGACGAAAGUCUGACGCAGCAACGCCGCGUGAGGGACGAAGGUUUUCUGAAUUGUAAACCUCUUUCGACAGGGACGAUAAUGACGGUACCUGUAGAAGAAGCAUCGGCCAACUAUGCGCCAGCAGCCGCGGU
This 482-nucleotide ribosomal RNA is filed under the name uncultured bacterium. RNAcentral describes it as "SSU rRNA". It matches the Rfam family "Bacterial small subunit ribosomal RNA", at positions 26 to 521 of the family's 1533-position model. The record is from RNAcentral.